Molecule: non-coding RNA, 224 nt
Filed under: Polytomella parva
Lineage: Eukaryota; Viridiplantae; Chlorophyta; Chlorophyceae; Chlamydomonadales; Chlamydomonadaceae
Source: RNAcentral
UAUGAAUAAUAAUAGUAAUGGUAAUAGUAAUACUAAUACUAAUGACAAUAAAACUAAUAAAACGAAUGAUAAUAAAAACUUUAGCACCAGUAGUACCUUUCCUGCUCAUGCCCUUUCGUCUUCCAGCCAUUCAAACGCGACCAGAGGAGUUGGAAAUGGAAUCGUCAGAAGCAAAGGCAAGUUUGGAAGUGGAUCUGGAUUACGAUUUGGUAAUGAAAUGGCUU